This is a long non-coding RNA of Lagopus muta (rock ptarmigan), 720 nucleotides long. RefSeq lists it as uncharacterized. The transcript has 4 exons. NCBI's taxonomy places the organism in Eukaryota, Metazoa, Chordata, Aves, Galliformes, Phasianidae. The record is from RefSeq and is a predicted model, not a curated record.
AGCCCUGUAUGCUUGAGGUCUUCUAAAGGCACGUUCAAUAUAAGGCAGUGAGAAUCACAUCAGACUGGGUUAUCUCACUGCUGGCUGAUGUGAAAAUGAACCUGGAGUGUGUUACACUGAGAUGGCAGCAGGAGACCUGAACCAUUUACAGGAAGAUGUUUAUUCAUCAAGCGUCAUCUUUGGAAUCUCUCCCUACAGAUCAAUCUGUCUUGCUCUGGUUAUCUUUCCCAUGUUCGGGCUCCUAAGGCAGGAGCAACGGUGCUGUGCCUGAACUUAACCUGCAGGGCUGACUUUGGUCUGUGCUAAGAUACACCUCCAGGAUGCACUGCUGCCCAUCCUGCUCACCCAGGCACCUGCUGGAGGUUCUGUGGCCAUUGGGAAAUACCCCAGAAACCAAGCACCAGAAUCAUUAGCUGAGAAUGGUAAAAGAAAUAACCAGCUGGAUCCUUACUUGUCUUUACUUCUGUUGUCGUCUUUGCUCGUUGCUGCUCACUCUCAGCUGUCCUAUCUAGGUCAGGUAUUUGGGGAUUACUCUCUCCUGCUGUGAUAUCUUUGUGUCUCAGUUUCUCUUCCAUAGACAGCUGUUCUGUCUGUGGCUGGCAGGGCUUCUGUACAGGGGGACAGGCUUUCCUGCUCCUGCCUUUGCCUCCUUUCUCCUCAGUCCCUCUUCUCUCCCUGGCCAGUCCUUUCUUCCCCCACGGAGGACUCGUCUUACUUUUC